UGGGGAAUAUUGCACAAUGGGGAAGACCCUGAUGCAGCGACGCCGCGUGAGCGAUGAAGUAUUUCGGUAUGUAAAGCUCUAUCAGCAGGGAAGAAAAUGACAGUACCUGACUAAGAAGCCCCGGCUAACUACGUGCCAGCAGCCGCGGUAAUACGUAGGGGGCAAGCGUUAUCCGGAUUUACUGGGUGUAAAGGGAGCGUAGACGGAGCAGCAAGUCUGAUGUGAAAACCCGGGGACUCAACCCCGGGCAGGUGCAUUGGAAACUGUUGAUCUAGAGUGCUGGAGAGGUAAGUGGAAUUCCUAGUGUAGCGGUGAAAUGCGUAGAUAUUAGGAGGAACACCAGUGGCGAAGGCGGCUUACUGGACAGUGACUGACGUUGAGGCUCGAAAGCGUGGGGAGCAAACAGGAUUAGAUACCC
This 418-nucleotide ribosomal RNA is filed under the name uncultured bacterium. Its description in RNAcentral is "bacterial SSU rRNA". It matches the Rfam family "Bacterial small subunit ribosomal RNA", at positions 355 to 787 of the family's 1533-position model. The record is from RNAcentral.